Molecule: ribosomal RNA, 233 nt
Filed under: uncultured Mycobacteriales bacterium
Lineage: Bacteria; Bacillati; Actinomycetota; Actinomycetes; Mycobacteriales
Description: uncultured Corynebacteriales bacterium partial 16S ribosomal RNA
Rfam family: Bacterial small subunit ribosomal RNA
Source: RNAcentral
GGGUGAGUAACACGUGGGCAAUCUGCCCUGCACUCUGGGAUAAGCCUGGGAAACUGGGUCUAAUACCGGAUAGGACCUUUCUCCUCAUGGGGUUUGGUGGAAAGUUUUUCGGUGCAGGAUGAGCCCGCGGCCUAUCAGCUUGUUGGUGGGGUAAUGGCCUACCAAGGCGACGACGGGUAGCCGGCCUGAGAGGGUGAUCGGCCACAUUGGGACUGAGAUACGGCCCAGACUCC